AUAACUACUGGAAACGGUGGCUAAUACCGCAUAACGUCGCAAGACCAAAGAGGGGGACCUUCGGGCCUCUUGCCAUCAGAUGUGCCCAGAUGGGAUUAGCUAGUUGGUGAGGUAACGGCUCACCAAGGCGACGAUCCCUAGCUGGUCUGAGAGGAUGACCAGCCACACUGGAACUGAGACACGGUCCAGACUCCUACGGGAGGCAGCAGUGGG
RNAcentral lists this ribosomal RNA (213 nucleotides) under Salmonella enterica subsp. enterica serovar Anatum. Its description in RNAcentral is "partial 16S ribosomal RNA". It matches the Rfam family "Bacterial small subunit ribosomal RNA", at positions 143 to 358 of the family's 1533-position model. The record is from RNAcentral. Lineage: Bacteria; Pseudomonadati; Pseudomonadota; Gammaproteobacteria; Enterobacterales; Enterobacteriaceae.